GUUACUGACAAUUUUCACUCAAGAAGCCGCUGAAAAACCUUCUCCUGCUCCGCCCCUCCAAUAACAUUCGAUCAAAAAUGCAAUGCGAUGUGUGUUUGGCCAGCCUCCCACCUAUUUUGCAUACCUUCCCCUAAUUGAUUUGAUGUUGGAAUUGGUGUUCUCGGAAAUGAUAUAUUCACUUAUUCAGAAUUUGAAGGGAUCUGUGUUCUUGGAGGUUCAAUCGACUAAGUGAAUCGAUUGAAAAGUAUAUCUCCUCUUCCGCUGAAUCUUUUUCUCUGAUAGCACGAUUUUGUUCACGUUCAACACCACUGCCACCGUUCACCAACACUGCCGUCGUUCUUUCUCCUUUUCUUUUAUGAUGGCUCUCAGUGUGUUGAGGACCGGCAAAACAUGAAAACUUGGAUCAAAAUCUUUUGCAGUAUUACCCUAGUCCAGGUGUCUGUUUUCACCACUGUAUAUACGUGGUGCCAAGGCCACCCGAGGUUCAGAAGGCCGAAGUGCAUGCAUGCUAGAUUAAAGAUAACCGCUGCAGUUUUUGAGUUCAUGUAUCUCACAUUGACCAUUUGCAUGCUUACUUUAUAUUGGAGAGCAAGAUUCCACCCUUGGAAUUACUUGCCUACUGGAAUUGCCCAAUGUUCUCUAAUCUACUCAGGCUACCUUGCUCUCCUUUUUUUACUUUUGAUGGACUGUGUGUGAAGACUAACCAAAUCAAUUGGUUAAUGAUUAUUGCAUCUGUUAUCGGUAUCUUUGUUAUUGGAAUAUGCGGUCUAAUACUAACAAUUUAUUAAAACUACAUUACAUCAAUAACACAUAAUACACGCAGCUUUGAGAGACGCUAUGUGGAUCUUGACUCUACGAAUAUCCUUCAACUGCUGGUAUCCAUAAGGGAUGUACUUUUCUGUCCAUAUCCGCCAUGUGAACGUAAAGGAGGAGUUAUCGUUGCUAUACAACGAGAUUACAAUCAUAAGAUCUUUCUAGACUAUGAUCUAUACAAUGAACCACCCACCCAAGGGAGUUGGGGAUCAAGGACUCUAUUGUUUGGCAUGGACCAAGUCAACAAUUUUUCUAAGGGGAGCACGUCCGUCUAGAGAAGAAAAAAGGAAAACAGAUAACAAAAGAAAACGUACAAGGACUUAAAAAACUCAACUAACAUAUAAGAACUUAGCUUAUUUUGGACCCUUUGGCACAUUAGUCCUAUUUAUUUGUUGUGAGUAUUCUAUAUGGUUUUCGAUA
This is an RNA transcript of Erigeron canadensis, 1233 nucleotides long. RefSeq lists it as uncharacterized. NCBI's taxonomy places the organism in Eukaryota, Viridiplantae, Streptophyta, Magnoliopsida, Asterales, Asteraceae. The transcript has 3 exons. The record is from RefSeq and is a predicted model, not a curated record.